CCCAGAAGUCUUAGGAAAGAAGGCUGCUUGCAGUUUGCUACAAAGAGAAUAUGAUGAGAUUAUCAGCCAUUCAACAUGAUCAGCCUAUGAAGCCCUUGGACAGAGCAGUCUUCUGGAUCGAGUUUGUCAUGCGCCACAAAGGAGCCAAGCACUUGCGGCCAGCUCUCCAUGACCUCACCUGGUUCCAAUACCACUCUCUGGAUGUCAUUGGGUUCCUGCUGGCCUGUGUGGCAACUGCCAUAUUUGUCAUCACAAAAUGUUGUCUAUUUUGUUGCUGGAAGUUUGCUAAAACAGGAAAGAAGGGGAAAAGAGACUAGCUGUAUCUGAGACUCAGCGCAGGUGUCCCCAACCUCUGAGAUCAAAUGCCUGAUGAUCUGGGGUGGAGCUGAUGCAAUAAUAGAAACAAAGUGAGCAAUACA
Long non-coding RNA from Capra hircus (goat), 419 nucleotides. RefSeq lists it as uncharacterized. The record is from RefSeq and is a predicted model, not a curated record. NCBI's taxonomy places the organism in Eukaryota, Metazoa, Chordata, Mammalia, Artiodactyla, Bovidae. The transcript is spliced from 2 exons.